This 119-nucleotide ribosomal RNA is filed under the name Betta splendens (Siamese fighting fish). The record is from RNAcentral. Lineage: Eukaryota; Metazoa; Chordata; Actinopteri; Anabantiformes; Osphronemidae.
GCUUACGGCCAUACCACCCUGAGCAUGCCCCAUCUCAUCUGAUCUCGGAAGCUAAGCAGUGUCGGGCCUGGUUAUUACUUGGAUGGGAGACCGCCUGGGAAUACCAGGUGCUGUAAGCU